RNAcentral lists this unclassified non-coding RNA (391 nucleotides) under Hevea brasiliensis (rubber tree). Lineage: Eukaryota; Viridiplantae; Streptophyta; Magnoliopsida; Malpighiales; Euphorbiaceae. The record is from RNAcentral.
GUUUGGAAGAGUGGAGGCCAUGAAGCGGCCAAUUGGGAGAACACCGAUCUGCAUAAGAAUGGCAGAGAUGGCAAGCGGUUGAGAGCGGUAAGUGAAGAAAGUGUUGAGGAAAAUGAGAAGGCAACAAGAAGCCAGCCCCAGAACCCAUGAUCGGAAAGUCAUCACCGGAAGAGAUGGGUCAUCGGUCUCUGGCACCACCAGAGCCACCUCCUCCACUGGGCACCGGUCCUCAGACGGUGGUUCGCCGCCGCCAUUGGACUUAUCAGCGGUGGAGGAAUCUGGGUUGGGCGGGGUUUUCGAGGACAUUGAAAGAGCGUUAAUGGGGAAAAAGAGAAACAGAACAGAGGAGGCUGUGUGUGUUUUGUGUAUGGAUUCGAAUGGUCGAGCCGGC